Molecule: ribosomal RNA, 149 nt
Filed under: Plasmodium ovale (malaria parasite P. ovale)
Lineage: Eukaryota; Apicomplexa; Aconoidasida; Haemosporida; Plasmodiidae
Also listed under: 1 other name
Description: 5.8S ribosomal RNA
Rfam family: 5.8S ribosomal RNA
About the family: 5.8S ribosomal RNA (5.8S rRNA) is a component of the large subunit of the eukaryotic ribosome.
Source: Rfam by way of RNAcentral
CAAUCUUAACGAUGGAUGUCUUGGUUCCUACAGCGAUGAAGGCCGCAGCAAAAAGCGAUAUGCAAUGAAAAAUGCAUUAACUGUGAAUCAUCGGAAAGCUGAAUAUAAUUUGUAAAAUUUCUAAUUAUAGAAAAUUUUAUUCCUUCAUA